This is a long non-coding RNA of Homo sapiens (human), 2533 nucleotides long. Ensembl annotates it as long intergenic non-protein coding RNA 1825. The record is from Ensembl. Lineage: Eukaryota; Metazoa; Chordata; Mammalia; Primates; Hominidae.
UUUUUUUUUUUCCUAUCGUAAGAGCUCUCUGAAGUCUUGUUUGCAGAACUGUCUGCAAGGCUGCUUGUCACCUUCGAAUAUACUCCAUCAACAUGCUGCCACUUCAUCUUGUUUAGGCUCUUCGACUGCUUUAUAGAAGGACACUGAAGUCCACAUCUAUCUCCUUGAGACAGGCAAAGAAACAAAUCCUUUAUCCUGUCUCAAAAAGAGCUGACAAGCUUUUAGUAGUGUUUAUCUUCACUGAAGGGUGAUAACCUUGAAAAUGAAAGUGAAAAGAGACUGAUACAAUUAGAUAAAGAAACCAGGACUCAAAGAUGAAGUAACUUGUUCAAAGUCUGGCAGCUACUAAGUGACAGAGCUGAAAUUCAAGCCACCAACUACAAGGUUCAUAUUCUGUUCACUUCAUCAGGCUGUUUACUGUAGGCAAAAAUACUAUUUUACAGCCAUAAUUAAACAACUUUCUAGCAAACGGCAUUUCUAUCAUUCUAGCACCACUAGCAUUAUCGCCUCUUCUCCCAUUGACAUAUUUUUUUAAGGCACUAACCUGGAAUUUCUUCUUCCAGUACAGAUGGACUAAGGGGGCGCAAACCCCCCUGGGUGAAACAACAAAAAGAAAAACAGAUAAAAUAUAUUAAACAACAGCUCUCAAGAUACUAGCAUCAGGCAACAAACCAAAGUGAUCCCUGUGAGAUAGUAAACAAAUGAGGUGAACCCUAUGACAGGUGCAACUUACUGCUUUGCAGAGUUUCCAGGCCAUGACACUAAGAGGAGAUAUCCAAGCAGAGCCCAGUGAAUGACCCAGAUUGAGGAGACAGAGCUGAAAGUCCAAGAAGACCCAAGGCAGCUGGAAUUUGCAAGACCGAGUACCAGAGAAAAGAGGGCUGAGCAGAGAUAGAAUUCCAGAGAUUUGUAAAGGGUCUCCCUUAAGUAUUUAGCAGAGUAUUAAUCAUUGUAGGCAUUUGAGGCAGUUACCUGUGGCCAGGAAAAAAACCACCCAAGAGGAUUAAAGGAAACAGUGUUUUAGCACUCACACAAGGCCAGAAAUAGCCUAUUUUCCCAUCCAGAUUGACUUAACUUCGUAAUUUGUGGGGCUUUGGGUAAAAAAGUCUACUCAUUAGUUAGUCUUACCUCAGUAGUAGGGAAUAAGUAGAUGUAGACUAAACACUAUACUGGUACCACCAAAAAAGCUUUAAAAACAGACUUAAAAGAAGUAAAUGCUUUUCAAGUAAUUUAACUGCAUCCUAGAACAAAAGACAUGCAAUUGGAGUCCCUGAAAGGAGGAUGUGAGAAAAAAUAUUACAGGAAAUAAUGACUAAAAUUGUUUCAAAUUUGAUGAAAGGAUAGACACAAGAAACUCAACAAAACUCAAAGCGUACAAGAAACAUGAAGAAGCCAGGUGCAGUGGCUCAUACUUGUAGUCCCAGCUGCUUGGGAGGCUGAGGCAGGAGGAUCUCUUGAGCCCAGUAGAUUGAAUCUGCAGUGAGCUGUGAACGCACCACUGUACUCCAGCCUGGGAGACAGAGCAAGACCCUAUCAAAAAAAAAAGGAAGAGACAUGAAGAAAACUACACUAAGGCACACAAUAAUCAAACUGCUCAAAAUCAGUGAUAAAGUGAAAAUCUUAAAUGCAACCAGAAGGAAAAAGACAUUAUAUACAGAGAAACAACGAUAAGGAUGACAUUAGAUUUAACUUCAGUAAUAAUGCAAUCCAGAAAACAGUGGAACAACAUUUUUAAAGUGCUGAAAGAAAAAAGCUAGAAUUCUACUCUCAGUAAAAAUGUCUUUAUAAGAAUUUUUUUCCUUUUUUUCUUUUUUCCUUGAGAUGAAGUCUCACUCUGUUGCCCAGGCUGUUCUUGAACUCCUGAGCUCAAACAACUCUCUGCCUUGGACUCCUAAAGUGCUGGGUGGGAUUACAGGCGUGAACCACCGUGCCUGGCCAGGACAUUUUUGGACAUACGAAGCUGAAAGAGUUCAUCACCAGCAAAUCCAUACUACAAAAAAUGUUAAAGAAAUUCUUCAGGCAGAAGAAAAAUACCCUAUAUGAAAAUUUUAAUCUGCACAAAUAAAUGAAGAGAACCAAAAAUGGUAAUACAUGGCAUGAUUGUUAAUUUUAUGUGCCAACUUAGUGGCCAUGAGGUGCCCAGAUUAAACAUUAUUCCUGGAUGUGUUUGUGAGGGUGUUUCUGAAUGAGAUUACAUUUGAAUCAGCGGACUCAGUAAAGUAGAUUGCCCUCCCAGUGUGGAUGGGCCUCAUCCAAUCUGUUAGGAGCCUAAAUGGAAUAAAGUGUGGCAGAAAGGAAAAUUCACCCCUUUUGCUUCCUGCCUGUCUGGUUGAACUGAGACAUCUCAUCCCAUCUUCCCUAGCACUCAGAUUGGGAUUUACAACACCAGGUCCCUUGGUUCUCAGGCCUUUGGACUUGGACUGAAUUACACCACUGCUUUCCGCGGUCUCCCAACUCGUGGAUGGCAGACUGUGGGACUUCUUAGCCUCCAUAAUCAUCGGAGCCAAUUUCUCAUAAUAAACAUAUUUACUAU